GUUUCAGCAGAGACUAAAUGGGCCUGGAGAAUGAACUAUUUUAAAGUGCACCAGGGUUGAAACACAUUGAAAGUCUCUAUUCCUGAGAACCACCUAGGAGUCAUGACUUGAAUAGCAGAACUUCCAGUGUGGGGUGAAGCAUCUGACAAGCAUGCUGAGACACCAGAUGGCAACUGGUUGGAAGUUUCAUCGGUGGAAGAGGAGCAAGUUAAAUGAGCUAAGGACACCAAAUUUGUCUCAGCCAGAUUGGUGCAACUAAAAUGACCCUGGCCUUGUCUUGUUUGAUUUUUUUUCAGUACUUUCAAAAGUAAUGGUGUUGAUGGAUAUGCAUAAAUAAGGGGUCUCGCUCUCCCUCCUUCAA
Mauremys reevesii (Reeves's turtle) is the source of this 361-nucleotide long non-coding RNA. RefSeq lists it as uncharacterized. The transcript has 2 exons. The record is from RefSeq and is a predicted model, not a curated record. NCBI's taxonomy places the organism in Eukaryota, Metazoa, Chordata, Testudines, Geoemydidae.